This 52-nucleotide microRNA precursor is filed under the name Equus caballus (horse). RNAcentral's name for it is "mir-1302 microRNA precursor family". It matches the Rfam family "mir-1302 microRNA precursor family". Lineage: Eukaryota; Metazoa; Chordata; Mammalia; Perissodactyla; Equidae. The record is from Rfam by way of RNAcentral.
UUUUUAGCAUAAAUUUGUUCCAUACAAUGUUUGGCAUAUACUUAUGCUAAAA